GGUGCCUGACGUCCAGGAAUUCUUUUACACAUCGGCCCCUCCCUAGUCUCUGCUUCCAAUGUGACUCGUCUUCUUUCUCUCCGGUCUGUUCCUUCAGUCUCCACCCCAAGCUCUGAGUCCUUUGAAUCCUUCUUUUCUACAGACUCAUCUGACCUCUCCCCUUUUCCCUAGAGCUGCUCCUUGCCAGGCUGAGCCAGGUCCCUCUGCUCCCCCACCCUGUAACCCUUCUAUUACCUCCCCUCCCCACACCAGGUCUGGUUUACAGUUUCGUUCUGUGACUAGCUCUCCCCCACCUGCCCAACAAUUUCCUCUUAGAAAGAUGGCUGGAGCUGAAGGCAUAGCUAAGGACCCCACUGGAAAUUGGAUUGUCCAACUGGCCCAAGGCUCUGACUGA
RNAcentral lists this long non-coding RNA (394 nucleotides) under Piliocolobus tephrosceles (Ugandan red Colobus). RNAcentral describes it as "lncRNA (ENSPTEG00000031733.1)". The record is from RNAcentral. Lineage: Eukaryota; Metazoa; Chordata; Mammalia; Primates; Cercopithecidae.